Molecule: ribosomal RNA, 253 nt
Filed under: uncultured bacterium
Lineage: Bacteria
Description: partial 16S ribosomal RNA
Rfam family: Bacterial small subunit ribosomal RNA
Source: RNAcentral
GACAGAGGUGCCGAGCGUUAGGCGGAAUCACUGGGCUUAAAGCGUGUGUAGGCGGGCGGGCAAGUACCUUGUGAAAUCCCACGGCUCAACCGUGGAACGGCUGGGUAUACUGCCUGUCCUGAGCCAACUAGGGGCGAGCGGAACAGACGGUGGAGCGGUGAAAUGCGUAGAUAUCGUCUGGAACGCCAAAGGUGAAAACAGCUCGCUGGGGUUGUGCUGACGCUGAGACACGAAAGCCAGGGGAGCGAACGGG